Molecule: ribosomal RNA, 414 nt
Filed under: uncultured bacterium
Lineage: Bacteria
Description: bacterial SSU rRNA
Rfam family: Bacterial small subunit ribosomal RNA
Source: RNAcentral
GAGUAACGCGUAUCCAACCUGCCCACCACUUGGGGAUAACCUUGCGAAAGUAAGACUAAUACCCAAUGAUAUCUCUAGAAGACAUCUGAAGGAGAUUAAAGAUUUAUCGGUGAUGGAUGGGGAUGCGUCUGAUUAGCUUGUUGGCGGGGUAACGGCCCACCAAGGCUACGAUCAGUAGGGGUUCUGAGAGGAAGGUCCCCCACAUUGGAACUGAGACACGGUCCAAACUCCUACGGGAGGCAGCAGUGAGGAAUAUUGGUCAAUGGACGAGAGUCUGAACCAGCCAAGUAGCGUGCAGGAUGACGGCCCUAUGGGUUGUAAACUGCUUUUAUAAGGGAAUAAAGUGAGUCUCGUGAGACUUUUUGCAUGUACCUUAUGAAUAAGGACCGGCUAAUUCCGUGCCAGCAGCCGCGG